GUCCCAGUUCGGAUUGUAGUCUGCAACCCGGCUACAUGAAGCUGGAAUCGCUAGUAAUCGCAGAUCAGAAUGCUGCGGUGAAUACGUUCCCGGGUCUUGUACACACCGCCCGUCACACCAUGGGAGUCGGAAAUGCCCGAAGUCGGUGACCCAACCGUUUACGGAGGGAGCUGCCGAAGGCAGGUCUGGUGACUGGGGUGAAGUCGUAACAAGGUACC
RNAcentral lists this ribosomal RNA (218 nucleotides) under uncultured bacterium. RNAcentral's name for it is "partial 16S ribosomal RNA". It matches the Rfam family "Bacterial small subunit ribosomal RNA", at positions 1285 to 1500 of the family's 1533-position model. The record is from RNAcentral.